GCACAAGCGGUGGAGCAUGUGGUUUAAUUCGAUGAUACGCGAGGAACCUUACCUGGGCUCAAAUGUAUGUUGACGUAUUCUGAAAGGGAUACUUCUUCGGACAAUAUACAAGGUGCUGCAUGGUUGUCGUCAGCUCGUGCCGUGAGGUGUCGGGUUAAGUCCCAUAACGAGCGCAACCCCUAUCAUUAGUUGCCAUCAGGUCAAGCUGGGGACUCUAAUGAAACUGCCUACGCAAGUAGUGAGGAAGGUGGGGAUGACGUCAAAUCAGUACGGCCCUUACGUCCAGGGCUACACACGUGCUACAAUGGCCGAUACAGAGGGCAGCUACCUGGUGACAGGAUGCAAAUCUCCAAAGUCGGUCUCAGUUCGGAUCGGAGUCUGCAACCCGACUCCGUGAAGUUGGAUUCGCUAGUAAUCGCAGAUCAGCCAAGCUGCGGUGAAUACGUUCCCGGGCCUU
Molecule: ribosomal RNA, 457 nt
Filed under: uncultured Sphingobacteriales bacterium
Lineage: Bacteria; Pseudomonadati; Bacteroidota; Sphingobacteriia; Sphingobacteriales
Description: bacterial SSU rRNA
Rfam family: Bacterial small subunit ribosomal RNA
Source: RNAcentral